GCCGGAGUGGUGGAAUUGGCAGACGCGCUAGUUUCAGGGACUAGUUCUCUUCGGAGAGUGGGGGUUCAAGUCCCCCCUCCGGCACCA
RNAcentral lists this transfer RNA (87 nucleotides) under bacterium. Its description in RNAcentral is "tRNA-Leu". It matches the Rfam family "tRNA". Rfam says of the family: Transfer RNA (tRNA) molecules are approximately 80 nucleotides in length. Their secondary structure includes four short double-helical elements and three loops (D, anti-codon, and T loops). The record is from RNAcentral.